Molecule: long non-coding RNA, 722 nt
Organism: Homo sapiens (human)
Lineage: Eukaryota; Metazoa; Chordata; Mammalia; Primates; Hominidae
Exons: 2
Source: RefSeq, a predicted model, not a curated record
UUUAAAAAUGCAUUGUAAACUGUAAAGUGAACCACAGGAUAAUCAUGAUUUUCUCCCUGUUCCUCCUGUCCCCCAGGUUGAGCAUGUGGAUAACUGAGAGAUGAUGAAAAAGGCAGGCACUCUGGGCUGACUUUCAUUAUAAAUAAACGGAAGCUCUGCCAAUUCCCUGGCUCUCUUCUCAGCCUCUCCCAGGCCUCUGACAACCCUAGACUCUAAGGUUGAGAAGGGAACUACCUCGGAGACUUUUAUCCAACUCUCAAUAAAUGGAGGAAAACAGCCAUGACCCUGCUUGACGACUUAACCAAUCUGAGCCUCAAUAUUCUCAGCUCAUCUUACAAGGCUCUUAUGAGGAGCAGUUGAAACAAUGCAUGUGGAAAUUCUUUGUAAAGUGCUUUAAAUGGGGCCGGGGGCAGUGGCUCACGCCUGUAAUCCCAGCUUUGGGAGGCCGAGGCAGGCAGAUCACCUGAGGUCAGCAGUUUGAAACCAGUCUGGCCAAUAUGGUUAAACCCCAUCUCUAUUAAAACUGCAAAAAUUAGCUGGCCUGUGGUGGCACAAGCCUGUAAUCCCAGCUACUCAGGAGGCUGAGGCAGGAGAAUCGCUUGAACCUGGGAGGUGGAGAUUGCAGUGAGCCAAGAUCGUGCCACUGCACUCCAGCCUGGGCCACAGAGGGAGACCAUGUCUCAAAAAAUAAUUAAAAAAAAAAAAAAAAAAAAAAAAAAAGG